ACUGACAGCCAUGGUUACCGCGGCUGCUGGCACGGAGUUAGCCGGUGCUUCUUCUGUGAGUGAUGUCCUUCCUGCCGGCUAUUAACCCGCAGGCCUUCUUCCUCACUGAAAGUGCUUUACAACCCGAAGGCCUUCUUCACACACGCGGCAUGGCUGGAUCAGGGUUGCCCCCAUUGUCCAAUAUUCCCCACUGCUGCCUCCCGUAGGAGUCUGGGCCGUGUCUCAGUCCCAGUGUGGCUGAUCAUCCUCUCAGACCAGCUACGGAUCGUCGCCUUGGUGAGCCGUUACCUCACCAACCAGCUAAUCCGACAUAGGCUCAUCCGAUAGCGCGAGGCCCGAAGGUCCCCCGCUUUCCCCCGUAGGGCGUAUGCGGUAUUAGCCUGGGUUUCCCCAGGUUAUCCCCCAUACCGGGCAGAUUCCUAUGCAUUACUCACCCGUCCGCCGCUCGCACCAGGGAGCAAGCUCCCCGUGCUGCCGCUCGACUUGCAUGUGUUAGGCCUGCCGCCAGCGUUCAAU
Molecule: ribosomal RNA, 516 nt
Filed under: uncultured bacterium
Lineage: Bacteria
Description: partial 16S ribosomal RNA
Source: RNAcentral